CCUUCCUGUAGUAACAGCCGCCGCUGCCGCCGCCGCCAGGAGCCCCGGCCGGGAGCGAGAGCCGCGGGGAGCAGAGCCGGCCUGGCUGCCGGACUGCGCGGCCCCACCAGGUGAACGGCCAUGGCGGGCUGGAUCCAGGCCCAGCAGCUGCAGGGAGACGCGCUGCGCCAGAUGCAGGUGCUGUACGGCCAGCACUUCCCCAUCGAGGUCCGGCACUACUUGGCCCAGUGGAUUGAGAGCCAGCCAUGGGAUGCCAUUGACUUGGACAAUCCCCAGGACAGAGCCCAAGCCACCCAGCUCCUGGAGGGCCUGGUGCAGGAGCUGCAGAAGAAGGCGGAGCACCAGGUGGGGGAAGAUGGGUUUUUACUGAAGAUCAAGCUGGGGCACUAUGCCACGCAGCUCCAGGUGGGUGUAGGCACUGGGCCACCUACGGGGAGGCAGCAUCAUCUUGUUCCAGCAUCAGAAUCCCUGGGUUUUUUCCUGGCCUGGCCACUGACUCACCAUGUGACCACGAACUUAUUGGGAACUUUUCUUCGAUUUCCCCCACCCCCUCUUUCUAAAU
RNAcentral lists this small RNA (562 nucleotides) under Pongo abelii (Sumatran orangutan). RNAcentral's name for it is "retained intron". Lineage: Eukaryota; Metazoa; Chordata; Mammalia; Primates; Hominidae. The record is from RNAcentral.